GACGAACGCUGGCGGCGUGCUUAACACAUGCAAGUCGAACGGAAAGGCCCUGCUUUUGUGGGGUGCUCGAUUGGCGAACGGGUGAGUAACACGUGAGUAACCUGCCCUUGACUUUGGGAUAACUUCAGGAAACUGGGGCUAAUACCGGAUAGGAGCUCCUGCUGCAUGGUGGGGGUUGGAAAGUUUCGGCGGUUGGGGAUGGACUCGCGGCUUAUCAGCUUGUUGGUUGGGUAGUGGCUUACCAAGGCUUUGACGGGUAGCCGGCCUGAGAGGGUGACCGGCCACAUUGGGACUGAGAUACGGCGCAGACUCCUACGGGAGGCAGCAGUGGGGAAUAUUGCACAAUGGGCGGAAGCCUGAUGCAGAAACGCCGCGUGCGGGAUGACGGCCUUCGGGUUGUAAACCGCUUUCGCCUGUGACGAAGCGGGAGUGACGGUAAUGGGUAAAGAAGCACCGGCUAACUACGUG
RNAcentral lists this ribosomal RNA (468 nucleotides) under uncultured bacterium. Its description in RNAcentral is "partial 16S ribosomal RNA". It matches the Rfam family "Bacterial small subunit ribosomal RNA", at positions 28 to 507 of the family's 1533-position model. The record is from RNAcentral.